GAGUUUGAUCCUGGCUCAACAGCUGGCGGUGCCUAAUAAUGCAGUCGAACGCGAAAGUGGAGCACCAUGAGUAGAGUGGAACGGGUGAGUAACGCGUGGGUGACUGCUCAGCGGGGGAUAACGUCCCGAAAGGGACGCUAAUACCGCAUAACAUGCCGCUUUUAACAGGGACAUCAAAGCUGGGGAUCCAGACUACACUUGAAGAGGGGCCCGGUCUGAUUAGCUAGUUGGUGGGGUAAUGGCUCACCAAGGCAACGAUCAGUAUCCGGCUGAGAGGGCGGACGGACACACUGGACUGAACACGGCCAGACUCCUACGAGGCAGCAGUGGGGAAUUGUCGCAAUGGGCGCAAGCCUGACGACGCAACGCCGCGUGGAGGAUGAAGACCUUCGGGUCGUAAACUCCUUUCGAUCGAGACGAAUGGCCUCCGGGUGAACAAUCCGGAGGAGUGACGGUACCGAGAGAAGAAGCCCCGGCUAACUCCGUGCCAGCAGCCGCGGUAAUACGGGGGGGGCAAGCGUUGUUCGGAAUUACUGGGCGUAAAGAGUUGCGUAGGUGGCAGAGUAAGCGGACAGUGAAAGCGUGUGGCUCAACUAUACAUACAUUGUCUGAACUGCUCAGCUAGAGAGUGAGAGAGGUAGUUGGAAUUCCCAGUGUAGGAGUGAAAUCCGUAGAUAUUGGGAGGAACACCGAUGGCGUAGGCAGACUACUGGCUCAUUUCUGACACUAAGGCACGAAAGCGUGGGGAGCGAACGGGAUUAGAUACCCCGGUAGUCCACGCCGUAAACUAUGGAUGCUAGCUGUUAUUCGUAUCGACCCGAGUAGUAGCGAAGCUAACGCGUUAAGCAUCCCGCCUGUGGAGUACGGUCGCAAGACUAAAACAUAAAGGAAUUGACGGGGACCCGCACAAGCGGUGGAGCGUGUUGUUUAAUUCGAUGGUAAGCGAAGAACCUUACCAGGGCUUGACAUCCUGCUAAUUUCUCCGAAAGGAGAGAGUGCCUUCGGGCCGCAGUGACAGGUGUUGCAUGGCCGUCGUCAGCUCGUGUCGUGAGAUGUUUGGUUAAGUCCAUCAACGAGCGCAACCCUUGUGAUUAGUUGAAUUUUUCUAAUCAGACUGCCCCGGCAACGGGGAGGAAGGAGGGGAUGAUGUCAGGUCAGUAUUACCCUUACGCCCUGGGCUACAAACACGCUACAAUGGCCGGUACAAAGGGCAGCCAAGUCGCAAGACGGAGCAAAUCCCAUCAAAGCCGGUCUCAGUUCGGAUUGCAGGCUGAAACCCGCCUGCAUGAAGCUGGAAUCGCUAGUAACGGUAGGUCAGCACACUACCGUGAAUACGUUCCCGGGUCUUGUACACAC
Molecule: ribosomal RNA, 1356 nt
Filed under: uncultured bacterium
Lineage: Bacteria
Description: bacterial SSU rRNA
Rfam family: Bacterial small subunit ribosomal RNA
Source: RNAcentral